CCUACGGGUGGCUGCAGUGAGGAAUAUUGGUCAAUGGACGAGAGCCUGAACCAGCCAAGUCGCGUGAAGGAUGACGGCCCUACGGGUUGUAAACUUCUUUUGUCAGGGCGCAAUUGGGUCCACGCGUGGGCUUAGCUAGAGUACCUGACGAACAAGCAUCGGCUACCUCCGUGCCCGCAGGCGCGGUAAUUCGGAGGAUGCGAGCGUUAUUCGUAUUUUUUGGGUUUUAAGGGUGCGUAGGCGGAAUAUCAAGUCAGCGGUAAAAAUUCGGGGCUCAACCCCGUCGUGCCGUUGAAACUGAUGGUCUUGAGUGGGCGAGAAGUAUGCGGAAGGCGUGGUGUAGCGGUGAAAUGCAUAGAUAUCACGCAGAACUCCGAUUGCGAAGGCAGCAUACCGGCGCCCAACUGACGCUGAAGCACGAAAGCGUGGGUAUCGAACAGGAUUAGAUACCCCAGGAGUC
This 460-nucleotide ribosomal RNA is filed under the name uncultured bacterium. RNAcentral's name for it is "partial 16S ribosomal RNA". It matches the Rfam family "Bacterial small subunit ribosomal RNA", at positions 338 to 795 of the family's 1533-position model. The record is from RNAcentral.